UACGUAGGGGGCAAGCGUUGUCCGGAAUUAUUGGGCGUAAAGAGCUCGUAGGCGGUCUGUCGCGUCGAAUGUGAAAACCCGGGGCUCAACUCCGGGCUUGCAUUCGAUACGGGCAGACUAGAGUUCGGUAGGGGAGACUGGAAUUCCUGGUGUAGCGGUGAAAUGCGCAGAUAUCAGGAGGAACACCGGUGGCGAAGGCGGGUCUCUGGGCCGAUACUGACGCUGAGGAGCGAAAGCGUGGGGAGCAAACAGG
This 253-nucleotide ribosomal RNA is filed under the name uncultured bacterium. Its description in RNAcentral is "partial 16S ribosomal RNA". It matches the Rfam family "Bacterial small subunit ribosomal RNA", at positions 524 to 776 of the family's 1533-position model. The record is from RNAcentral.